CCUGCAUAUAAAAGCGACGCACUCCGUAAGAGGACCAGCAGUCGCAGCAGUGCAAUCACGCAGACAGCAGCUAUGAAGGUCGUCGCUCUCCUGCUUGUGGUCUGCGCCUCCGUGGCCUGGGCGAAGCCUUUGUGCUUCCACGGCAUCUGCAUUCCUGACAGUCAAGCCACUGGGGGUGCUUCGGGCACCGUCACCAGUGGCGUCAGCAAUACAUCUGGUGGCUCCAGCAGGAUUACGUCAGUCGGCUCCUCUGCAGGGGGAACGGCCAGAGGACCGUGUGCAAGCAGCUUCAACAGUGGAAAAGCCACCAGCUUUAGCUCACAGACUAUUUUGGGCAAUACGGAUGCAAGCGACACCAAUGCCGUCUCAAUCCAACAAACCGGCUGCUGAAUGACCCAGUCACAGUCAUCUCGGCAUGUGUCGCAAUGGCGCACCAUGUGAAACGCUUGCUCCGUCGACAGACGUUGCGACAUCGGGCGUCAGUUGUGACAUGUGAUCGAAAUGUGCAAUACAGGCUUACCCCGCCAUGAUUGAACUCUAAUUUGUUGGCGCUGCCAGUGUCAGUUGAUGUUUCUCCGUGGGAGAGGCGCCACAAAUUUCGUGCCAACUCCGAUAGUCAUAUCUUGGAGACGCAUCUCCAUGAUAUAUUCAAACCAGUGAAACUAAAAAACAGCUCGGAUUAUGCUUCUUGUUACUGUUGGCGAGGAACACUGAAAUAAACACGACCUUUUC
Pollicipes pollicipes is the source of this 732-nucleotide long non-coding RNA. RefSeq lists it as uncharacterized. The record is from RefSeq and is a predicted model, not a curated record. NCBI's taxonomy places the organism in Eukaryota, Metazoa, Arthropoda, Thecostraca, Pollicipedomorpha, Pollicipedidae. The transcript is spliced from 3 exons.